AGUGAACGCUGGCGGUAGGCCUAACACAUGCAAGUCGAACGGCAGCACAGUAAGAGCUUGCUCUUACGGGUGGCGAGUGGCGGAAGGGAGAGGAAUACAUCGGAAUCUACUUUUUCGUGGGGGAUCACGUAGGGAAACUUACGAUAAUACCGCAUACGACCUACGGGUGAAAGCAGGGGAUCUUCGGACCUUGCGCGAUUGAAUGAGCCGCUGUCGGAUUAGCUAGUUGGCGGGGUAAAGGCCAACCAAGGCGACGAUCCGUAGCCGGUCGGAGAGGAGGGUCAGCCACACUGGAACGUGGACACGGUCCAGACUCCUACGAGAGGCAGCAGUGGGGAAUAUUGGACAGUAGGCGCAAGCCUUAUCCAGCCAUACCGCGUGGGUGAAGAAGGCCUUCGGGUUGUAAAGCCCUUUUGUUGGGAAAGAAAAGUAUCAGGUUAAGACCCCGCUGUUCUGACGGUACCCAAUGAAUAAGCACCGGCUAACUUCGUG
Molecule: ribosomal RNA, 492 nt
Filed under: uncultured bacterium
Lineage: Bacteria
Description: partial 16S ribosomal RNA
Rfam family: Bacterial small subunit ribosomal RNA
Source: RNAcentral